UACGAAGGGGGCUAGCGUUGCUCGGAAUCACUGGGCGUAAAGCGCACGUAGGCGGCUUAUUAAGUCAGAGGUGAAAUCCUGGAGCUCAACUCCAGAACUGCCCUUGAUACUGAUGAGCUUGAGUUCGGGAGAGGUGAGUGGAACUGCGAGUGUAGAGGUGAAAUUCGUAGAUAUUCGCAAGAACACCAGUGGCGAAGGCGGCUCACUGGCCCGAUACUGACGCUGAGGUGCGAAAGCGUGGGGAGCAAACAGG
This 253-nucleotide ribosomal RNA is filed under the name uncultured bacterium. RNAcentral describes it as "partial 16S ribosomal RNA". It matches the Rfam family "Bacterial small subunit ribosomal RNA", at positions 524 to 776 of the family's 1533-position model. The record is from RNAcentral.